AUCGAUUUCAGCUUGUAAUCUUUGGAUUUUGGUCCACAUAGCAUCUAGUUGCAAAUUCCGGCACUGUGGGAAAGAAAUCUGCCGUUGCUUUUAAAUUUUGGCACUGUGGGAAAGAAAAUCUGCCGCUGCUUUGUUGACUCUGCCCUCUCAUUGUUGCAGAAGUUAUCCCUUUUUUGUCCUUGUGAAAGAAAAAUCUGCUUACCCAACUUAAGAUUCAUGUUAAGUUGGUUGAAAGGU
RNAcentral lists this unclassified non-coding RNA (237 nucleotides) under Hevea brasiliensis (rubber tree). Lineage: Eukaryota; Viridiplantae; Streptophyta; Magnoliopsida; Malpighiales; Euphorbiaceae. The record is from RNAcentral.